CCUACGGGUGGCAGCAGUGAGGAAUAUUGGUCAAUGGUCGGGAGACUGAACCAGCCAAGCCGCGUGAGGGAUGAAGGUACAGAGUAUCGUAAACCUCUUUUGUCAGGGAACAAAGGCGGGGACGCGUCCCCGGAUGAGUGUACCUGAAGAAAAAGCAUCGGCUAACUCCGUGCCAGCAGCCGCGGUAAUACGUAGGGUGCAAGCGUUACUCGGAAUCACUGGGCGUAAAGAGUGCGUAGGCGGGUUAAUAAGUCAGAUGUGAAAUCCUGUGGCUUAACUACAGAAUUGCAUUUGAAACGGGUGCUCUGGAGUGUGGGAGAGGUAGGGGGAAUUCGUGGUGGAGGGGUAAAAUCCGUAGAGAUCAAGAGGAAUACUCAUUGCGAAGGCGACCUGCUGGAACAUUACUGACGCUGAUGCACGAAAGCGUGGGGAGCAAACAGGAUUAGAUACCCCAGUAGUC
Molecule: ribosomal RNA, 460 nt
Filed under: uncultured bacterium
Lineage: Bacteria
Description: partial 16S ribosomal RNA
Rfam family: Bacterial small subunit ribosomal RNA
Source: RNAcentral